AGGAGGAACAACCGCAGCAGCUCUGGAAACCUGGAGUCAGCUCCCACAGUAACCCCGGAGCUCUCCGUCUGCAGGGCCUGGAGGCUCCGGGGCGGG
RNAcentral lists this microRNA precursor (96 nucleotides) under Canis lupus familiaris (dog). Its description in RNAcentral is "mir-8834 microRNA precursor family". It matches the Rfam family "mir-8834 microRNA precursor family". RNAcentral also lists the same sequence under 1 other name. The record is from Rfam by way of RNAcentral. Lineage: Eukaryota; Metazoa; Chordata; Mammalia; Carnivora; Canidae.